CAUUGGUUCAAAGAUGGGUGGGAUGGCAGAGGGGUCCAUGGUCUCCAUGAGGUUGCCUGUUGGAGAAGGAAUGGGACGCGCUCUGUAUAGGAGGCUGGCUAUUUUGGAGACACGGGUUUGUUCCUUAGGAGACUCUAUAGGCGGCUUCACCACGCACAUUAUCUUUGCUUGGCAGAGUCACUCCAGCUUCACCCCUAGUUCUUCUAAAAGAAUGAAGACAACAAUGUGACAGCAUUUCAGCUGGUGACAUCAUUUCUCUUGUAUCUUCAUUUCUCUCAGCAUAUACAGAUCAACCUCUGUCUUCACAGGUGCUCUAUUUAUUAUUUACAUCUAGUGUAUUUUUCUGAUUUGUAGUAUAUUCAUUAAAUUUUUAAUCACUAACCACCUGCUUCAAUGAGUCAUUUUUGAUAUGCUUUCUUGUAAAUUGGUAUUAUAACACUUCACGUCUUAUUGUUUUUGUUUUGUUUUGUUUUGUUUUGUUUUGAGACGGAG
Molecule: long non-coding RNA, 492 nt
Filed under: Homo sapiens (human)
Lineage: Eukaryota; Metazoa; Chordata; Mammalia; Primates; Hominidae
Description: HSALNT0382601
Source: RNAcentral